GAGUAACCCUCCAGGGAUUAAAAACGUCAAAAUCCAAAUACCUAUGCGGUCGCAUAGGUUAUGCCUAUGCGAUCGCAUAGGUAUAAUCUGUGCCUGAUUUUUGCAGUUUCCUUAUAUGAUUGCAACUCCUUUGGUAACCUAAUUUCGACGGGUUUAAAUAGCAAAAAACGUCUAGAAGCCGGAAGGAACGAAUUGGGAGGCAAAAACAUUCAUUUUGGAGAGGAUUUGAAGGCAAGAACAAGGAUUGACGCGAAGAUUUACAAGAUUUCUUCAAGUUUUGAUAACCCAGUGAUGUAUUUUAUUCAAAACUUGAUAGAUUUCGUUAUUUUUGUCAUGAUAGGCU
Molecule: long non-coding RNA, 343 nt
Filed under: Olea europaea (common olive)
Lineage: Eukaryota; Viridiplantae; Streptophyta; Magnoliopsida; Lamiales; Oleaceae
Description: long non-coding RNA (OEUR_LNC015635)
Source: RNAcentral